GGUUUUAGCCCUCUCACGGGUCAGAGCUGAAGUCUCACUGAAGUUGUUAUUUACAACUUUAAAAAGAGAUACAACAAAUGUUCACUUGUGAUCUCCAUAGUUGGCAAUUUUAAAUGUUGUUUGUUGAUGAUAGACAGACAGACAGAAGCUAAAUAGAUUCAGUAACUCCCUAAAAGGUGUUAGGAGACGCAAUACAUUUUAAAUUUAAAGGAAACAAAGAAAAUAAGAAGACCAACAAAGAAUUAAUCAUAGUAAAACAGGGAGAGUAAAUUGCGGACAGAUGCUGGACUUUGAGAAAGCCCCCAAAAGAAAGCUUAGCCAAGAAAAAAUUAAACUGAAAAAUCAUAAAAAACACCAAGAUGAAGAUUAUAAAGAGAAUCAAGAAAAGCAGAUAUACCUGAUGACUAGAAAAGCCAAGGGAAAACUAAGAC
This is a non-coding RNA of Podarcis lilfordi (Lilford's wall lizard), 431 nucleotides long. The record is from the annotation of a GenBank genome assembly. Lineage: Eukaryota; Metazoa; Chordata; Lepidosauria; Squamata; Lacertidae.